UUCUUUCACUAACCUCACUUGUCAUUUGCUAUGUUUACUAUAGUGCUUAAAUGGCGUACACUAUUAAAUUAAUUCAAUAAUACUUUUAUACAAUCGAUUACUUCGUAGCAUUAAAUUGUGUUAAUUUAAAGAAAUCAACGAAGGAUAAUAAUGAGAAAAAUAAAGACGAAUAUAUAUAAUCAACGAUAGCAUCUUCGAUAAUUAAGAACACGAAUUGACAACUUUCAUAAUUUGGAAAAAUAGUUAUGAAAUAUGUCUUAACAAAAUAUCACGUGAUCAUUAUCAACUCAAUACAUCGUCAAAAGAUGGAAGCACUAAAGAGGCAAAGUUGGCAUAUAGGAAAAGGAAACAGAUCUCUAGGGUAAAGUCGUGUGAGUUGGUGUUGUCGCUUUUAAUUCACAACUAUUCAUAUUAUGUGAAACUGCAAAAGUAAAUAUGGAUUCUUCAACUAAAUUGAAUGAUGAUAUUAAAUUAAUAGAAGGAAAAACCCAAUGUUCAGUUUCAAAUGAAUCAAAAAAUGAUUCUUCAUUAGAAAAUACUCAUAAAGUUGACAUUACAAAUACUACUCAGAAAGAAAAACAAGAUGUAGAUAAAGUCAAUACUAUUAAAGAUGCAGAAAAUGAAAUUAAUGCAGAAAACAUUACUGCAAAUACAAGUUGUGUUAAGACAGAAAAUGAAAGUGAUUCAGAAGAUAUCAUUGAAUCGAGUAUUAAUGUGCAAAAUAAUAUCCAAAUAAAAGAAGCAAGAAAGGAAGAGAAAAAUGAAAAUUUAACAGAAAAUACGUCAUCAAAUGCAAAUACUGCGAAAGAGAGUGGUGAAGAAGAUACUACAGAAGAUAUAACAGAUGAAAAGAGUAUUUAUAAUAUCAAAAGAAAGCGUGGAAAUUUAAGUACACAAGAAAGUGCUUCGUCUUCUGAAGAGAAUGGAGUUAGAAAUAAACGAAAAAAAUUUAAAAAUACAAAUGAUAAAUUUUGUUGGAGGUGCCACAAAGAAUCAACAGAAGCACUCUGUAGUGCCUGUCCGCGAUCAUGGCAUCGUAGAUGUUUAGGUGGUACGCCACCGACUUCUGUUCAUAACUGGAUUUGUGGCGAAUGUGCUACAAUAUUGAAAGCAGAAAAUGCAGAAACACGUUCUGCGGCAAUGGCACAGUUAUCAGUUGAUCAAUUGUGUAUGUUGCUUAAACAUGUAGUUCAAAAAAUGCGUGAAUAUUCUGGCUCUGAACCAUUUUGGAAACCUGUAGAAAUCAAUGAAACUCCAAAUUAUUUGGAUUAUGUUUUUAAACCAAUGGAUUUAAAUCUUUUAGAAUCUAAUGUACGUUCAAAACUUUAUGGAAGUACUGAUGCAUUUAUGUCUGAUGCAAAAUGGAUACAGCAUAAUUGUAUUGUCUAUAAUACAUGCGGUGGACUUUAUGCUGAUACAUCUAAAUUAACCAAUAUUGCAAAACAAAUAAUUAAAUUGGCACGCCAUGAGGUAGCAGAAAUUGAGGCUUGUCCAGAUUGUUAUGCACAUUCGCGUAACUUACCUAGGCCACAACCAUCAUGGUUUAUUGAACCUUGCCGUCAACCACAUCCUCUUGUAUGGGCUAAAUUAAAAGGUUUCCCUUUCUGGCCUGCUAAAGCUAUGCCACGGUUAAAUGCAAAAGGUUCUGUAGAUGUUCGUUUUUUUGGUGAACAUGAUCGAGCAUGGAUACAACCUCGAGAUCUUUUUUUAUAUUCUGAAGAUCCACCUGCUCCAUUGCCUCGCAAAAGAAAAGUAGAUAUGGAUGAAUGCGUUAGAGAAAUUACCCGGCAUUGUCGAAAACUAGAACUUGUAUUUGGUAAAUUUAAAUUUGCACCUCCAAAAAUACAAUACAAUCCGCACGAUCCAAUGCAAAUCAAACUUAUGCUACCAAAUUAUGAUCCUCUUCAACCAAAUAAUUGUACAUCUUCAGAAUUUUUGGUACCUAAAAAGAAGGCUGCUUUUCGAAAACGUAAUCUUUCUAUCAAGGAUAAAUCACAAACUGAGGCUUCUGCUAAUGAUAGUAAACUUGAUUCUGAUACAACUGCUUCUGAUGAUGAAAAUAAAUCCCGAAAUAAAAUACAAAAAUUAACCAGAUCCAAUCAAUCUUCACCAAGUUCAGACAACAGUAUUAAUUUAGAUAUACCACAAAGUGAAUUGCAAAAAAAAGUGAUUAACAUAGAAAACAAGACAUCUAUAGAAGAUGUUUCAUUAGCAGAAGAUAAUGAACUUAUUAAAUCAGAUCGAAAGAACAUUGAAGAAAAUAAUACAAAUACACGUGUACAAAGAUCUAAUGAAUCUAAUGUACCUUUAUUGAGAAAUAACUUACAUAUUACACAUGAUAGUUUAACAUCUACCGAUCAAAUUUUAAAACCAAGUGAAUCACCAAAACUGGAACAGGUAUCAAAGAAACAUUCCACUGUGAAAACUACUAACAGCAAAAGUAAUACAUCUGAAAUUUUAAAAGUAGCGUCAAAGCCCACUAAAAAUACGGCUAAAGUUUAUAAACCAAAAACGAGGUUGGUUGAUAAAUUAAAUGCAGAAAAAGCUUUAAAAUUUUUAUCCGAAAAUGAACAAAAAAAUAAAAUGGGAUCGCCGAGCAUAGAAUCAAUCGUUCAAGUUACUCGAUCUUUAUCACAAACUGAUAAACAUGAUCUGUUGAAUAAAACAACAAAUGGAACUGUCACUUCAUCCGUUUCUACAUUUACUACCAUAACACAAAAUAACACUAGAUCUUCUGUAUCAAAUUCAACAAUAGGUCAAACAACACCUGCAACGUGUAACAAAUCAACAGAUAUAGUACAACAGUCUAUAUUAACAGAGGAUAAUUUAACAAAUAAAGAAAGUUACAUGAUUACGAAACCAGUUUCAAAAGAACAAAAAAGAGAGAGCAAAGCAAGAAAAUCUUUUCCUAAUAAACCACCUAUUUAUCCACAAAUAACACUUCAUUCAUCAUCAAAUACAUUACCUAGUUCAAUAGAAUCGAUAAUCUAUAAUCCAACUCCACAAAAAGAAAAUGUUAUUGAAUAUCAAUUACUUCCUCCUGAAGCUGGGCCUCUUAGUGCUCGUUUAUAUCAUGGUGCUGAAGAGUUAGCAAAAAGAAUGGCUCAAUUAAUGGAGGAAGCAUAUCAAGAAGCUGCUCACAACAGUCAAAACUCUGAAGAUGAUACUACUGAUAAGCAUCAUGCUACAGUACAUUUUUUACGAUUACAGAUUGAACGAAUGAGGUGGCAACAUCAACAACAAUUGGCAGAACUAAAACAUAAUACUGAUCGUAUGUUACGAGAAAUGAAAGCAGGCCUAGAAGCAGAACAACUUCGAGCUGUUGAAGAAACUCGACGAGAAAUGGAACAAGAAAAAAUAAGAUGUAUCGAGGAGACAAAACGUAAACAAUGGUGUGCUAUGUGUCAUCGUGAAGCAUUAUUUUAUUGUUGCUGGAAUACAGCUUAUUGUGAUUACGCAUGUCAACAAUCUCAUUGGACAACCCAUAUGAGAACGUGUGCCCAAAAACCUUCUUUUACUACAAUUGUUACAACUUCGUCUGUAGGAUCAAGUCAACAACAGGUGAUGCCCAAGCUUAUGAUAAAUGUGCAACAUGCAUCAUAAAACGUAAAGAGGGCAUAGAGUCAUUGGUUAACAGAUUUCUAUUCAUAUAUUUCAACACUGGCUUAACGCGUAUCAAUAUGAUAAAAUGGAAUUAUUAAUGUAGACAACAUACUUAAUAAUUCAAAGAAGAGAAAAAAAAAUAAAGUGUAUUUUUUACCAAGAGUAAUAAUACGAAAGUAUGUACUCCUGCGUGCAGAGUUUAUUCUUUACCGCGUAAUAAAUCACCUGGAUUAUCAAAAUCUCAUUAUGUUUCGUGUUCUAAAAAUGAAAAUAAUUAAGGUCUUUUAUUAAUAGAUAUUAGGUUAAAACUAUUUGCAAUCAAUAAUAUAGUUCACUACACAUUGUGUAAGUUGAUUUUAAAUAAUUUUGUCUACAUACAUCUUGUCAAUUAUGUAUUGAUAUUAGCAAUUAAAAUAGGAUAAUUGCAGACGUUAAAUAUUUUAUUGUAUAUUCAUGAUGCAUUCAGU
This 4070-nucleotide unclassified non-coding RNA is filed under the name Polistes canadensis. RNAcentral describes it as "protein kinase C-binding protein 1, transcript variant X3". The record is from RNAcentral. Lineage: Eukaryota; Metazoa; Arthropoda; Insecta; Hymenoptera; Vespidae.